GGAGGGGGAAGAGACUUGAGGCAGACUGACCCACCAGCAGGCUUCUAGCAAUAAUCCUGGUGUAGGCGAUGAGAGCCUGCACCAGGGCAAUGUCAGAGGAAAGUUGGAAUUGGAGAGAUGGUGCAAAGGUGAAACUGACAAGCCUUGGGGGCAGCUUGCAUUUGGGGUGAGGGGUGGGGGAUGGGGGGAGAAAGUGAGGGAUCCAGGAUGAUUACAAGCCCAAAAGCCUAUCAAGAUGGCCGUUAUCAUCUACAGUAAUAGGGAAAGUAGGAAGAGAGGACGGUUUAGGAAGAAGGAUAAGUUCUGUUUUGAAUAUAUUGAGUUAAAGAUGUCUAUUACACAUCCAGUUAGAGAUGUCUAAAAGGCAGUUGGAGAUGGGAGCUCAGCAGAAAGUCUUGGGUAGAAUAGGUAGAUUUGAGAAUCAUUGUAUCAUAGUUAAUGAUAUCAUAUCAUCAUUAUACCAUAUAUUAACAUCAUAAUUAAUGAGUAAAUCAUCAUUACCAGUCAUAGAAAUGGUGACUAAAUUUAUGGGCUGAUGAGAACAUCAAGUGAAAUGGUGUAGAUAGGGAAGAAGAGGAAAAAGGCCCAGAAUGGAACCCUCAGAGACACUUACAGUUAGAAGAGUCAGAAAAGGAGACUUAGGAUGGGCAAGAUAGGUAGGAGGACAGCUGCUUAACUCUACUUAUUGUAAUAAUAGAAAUAUCAACCCAAAAAUAGGAGGAGGAAGAAGAAAAGAAAAGAACAUCAAUAAGGUGCCAGUCAGUCAGAGAAUUCCUCAGAAAUUUAAAAAUCUAUCUCUUUGGAUUCUCCCAAUCCACCUAUUCCUGGAAGUGGAAAGUCCACAGGUAUUUGCACAUUUUUCAGACUUUUGCACUCUACUCAUCAGUUGUGUUAAAUAUUUUUUCCACUUUUUUUUCUGGUCUUUAAAAACCUAUUUGUUAUAUUCAAUGACUCUCUGGAAAGGAAGGGGGAGAGAUACUAGGAAUAACUACGAUGGUGUAAAAACAUUAAUAAAAACUCAUUUAAAAAUAAAAUCAAGGUAAUAUAUGUAAAACCUGGAUCAAAUUACUUGCCAUCUCUGGGGUGGGAAGAGAGGGAAAGAAACAAUUUAGAUUUUAUAACUGGAAAUUUAUUACAUGUAAUUG
RNAcentral lists this long non-coding RNA (1145 nucleotides) under Monodelphis domestica (gray short-tailed opossum). RNAcentral's name for it is "lncRNA (ENSMODG00000047918.1)". The record is from RNAcentral. Lineage: Eukaryota; Metazoa; Chordata; Mammalia; Didelphimorphia; Didelphidae.